AACACCUAGGAGGAUCCUGAGUACGGCGGAACACGAGAAAUUCCGUCGGAAUCCGCGGGGACCAUCCCGCAAGGCUAAAUACUCCCUAGUGACCGAUAGUGAACCAGUACCGUGAGGGAAAGGUGAAAAGCACCCCGGAAGGGGAGUGAAAUAGAUCCUGAAACCGUGUGCCUACAACAAGUCAAAGCUCGUUAAUGAGUGAUGGCGUGCCUUUUGUAGAAUGAACCGGCGAGUUACGAUUGCAUGCGAGGUUAAGUCGAAGAGACGGAGCCGCAGCGAAAGCGAGUCUGAAUAGGGCGAAUGAGUAUGUAGUCGUAGACCCGAAACCAUGUGAUCUACCCAUGUCCAGGUUGAAGGUGCGGUAAAACGCACUGGAGGACCGAACCCACGUACGUUGAAAAGUGCGGGGAUGAGGUGUGGGUAGCGGAGAAAUUCCAAACGAACUUGGAGAUAGCUGGUUCUCUCCGAAAUAGCUUUAGGGCUAGCCUCGGAAUUGAGAAUGAUGGAGGUAGAGCACUGUUUGGACUAGGGGCCCAUCUCGGGUUACCGAAUUCAGAUAAACUCCGAAUGCCAUUCAUUUAUAUCCGGGAGUCAGACUGCGAGUGAUAAGAUCCGUAGUCGAAAGGGAAACAGCCCAGACCACCAGCUAAGGUCCCAAAAUAUAUGUUAAGUGGAAAAGGAUGUGGGGUUGCACAGACAACUAGGAUGUUGGCUUAGAAGCAGCCACCAUUUAAAGAGUGCGUAAUAGCUCACUAGUCGAGUGACCCUGCGCCGAAAAUGUACCGGGGCUAAACAUAUUACCGAAGCUGUGGACUACACCAUUAGGUGUAGUGGUAGGAGAGCGUUCUAAGGGCGUUGAAGGUCGAUCGUGAGGACGGCUGGAGCGCUUAGAAGUGAGAAUGCCGGUAUGAGUAGCGAAAGACAGGUGAGAAUCCUGUCCACCGUAUGACUAAGGUUUCCUGGGGAAGGCUCGUCCGCCCAGGGUUAGUCGGGACCUAAGCCGAGGCCGAUAGGCGUAGGCGAUGGACAACAGGUUGAUAUUCCUGUACCAGUUGUUUUUGUUUGAGCAAUGGAGGGACGCAGUAGGCUAAGGAAUGCAUGCGAUUGGAAGUGCAUGUCCAAGCAAUGAGUCUUGAGUAGAGUUAAAUGCUUUACUCUUUAAGGACAAGUUGUGACGGGGAGCGAAAUAAUAGUAGCGAAGUUCCUGAUGUCACACUGCCAAGAAAAGCUUCUAGU
This 1236-nucleotide ribosomal RNA is filed under the name Enterococcus faecalis. RNAcentral describes it as "partial 23S ribosomal RNA". It matches the Rfam family "Bacterial large subunit ribosomal RNA", at positions 392 to 1626 of the family's 2925-position model. Lineage: Bacteria; Bacillati; Bacillota; Bacilli; Lactobacillales; Enterococcaceae. The record is from RNAcentral.